UUUGAUGGAGCCGAGCCGGAGCGGCCGGUCUACGGGGCGGUCCUGCCCGUAGGCGGCCAGCACGGCCUGGGCCUC
Molecule: antisense RNA, 75 nt
Filed under: Actinomadura pelletieri DSM 43383
Lineage: Bacteria; Bacillati; Actinomycetota; Actinomycetes; Streptosporangiales; Thermomonosporaceae
Description: ASpks TB sRNA
Rfam family: ASpks TB sRNA
Source: RNAcentral